Molecule: ribosomal RNA, 366 nt
Filed under: uncultured bacterium
Lineage: Bacteria
Description: bacterial SSU rRNA
Rfam family: Bacterial small subunit ribosomal RNA
Source: RNAcentral
UAGCGUUAUCCGGAUUUAUUGGGUUUAAAGGGUCCGUAGGCGGACUUAUAAGUCAGUGGUGAAAGCCUGUCGCUUAACGAUAGAACUGCCAUUGAUACUGUAAGUCUUGAGUAUAUUUGAGGUAGCUGGAAUAAGUAGUGUAGCGGUGAAAUGCAUAGAUAUUACUUAGAACACCAAUUGCGAAGGCAGGUUACCAAGAUAUAACUGACGCUGAGGGACGAAAGCGUGGGGAGCGAACAGGAUUAGAUACCCUGGUAGUCCACGCCGUAAACGAUGCUAACUCGUUUUUGGGCUUUAGGGUUCAGAGACCAAGCGAAAGUGAUAAGUUAGCCACCUGGGGAGUACGCUCGCAAGAGUGAAACUCAA